CUCAGCAGAGGCAGGAGGUGAUCAGCUCUCCCCGUUUCUGAAUAAAUGUCACAGGUCCAGUUCAAACCCAAUGGGAGUGAAUUACAUACAGCCUGGAUAUUGAAAGGAAGGAGAGCAUUGGGAGCCAUCUGAGAAGUAGGACCCUAGAUCUUCUGGGUCCCCCUCAAGGAGCUCACAUAUGCCUUCAAACAGAAAUGUCACCCAGACAUGUAACAGUGUCCUUGCUCUGUGUCUGUUGUUUCUAAGACUCCCCGUGUGACUUGUCUCUUUCCUAAUGUGUGCUAAGUACCUGAUACU
Molecule: long non-coding RNA, 297 nt
Organism: Nannospalax galili (Upper Galilee mountains blind mole rat)
Lineage: Eukaryota; Metazoa; Chordata; Mammalia; Rodentia; Spalacidae
Exons: 3
Source: RefSeq, a predicted model, not a curated record